This 205-nucleotide ribosomal RNA is filed under the name Vibrio parahaemolyticus. Its description in RNAcentral is "partial 16S ribosomal RNA". It matches the Rfam family "Bacterial small subunit ribosomal RNA", at positions 1 to 189 of the family's 1533-position model. Lineage: Bacteria; Pseudomonadati; Pseudomonadota; Gammaproteobacteria; Vibrionales; Vibrionaceae. The record is from RNAcentral.
AAAUUGAAGAGUUUGAUCAUGGCUCAGAUUGAACGCUGGCGGCAGGCCUAACACAUGCAAGUCGAGCGGAAACGAGUUAUCUGAACCUUCGGGGAACGAUAACGGCGUCGAGCGGCGGACGGGUGAGUAAUGCCUAGGAAAUUGCCCUGAUGUGGGGGAUAACCAUUGGAAACGAUGGCUAAUACCGCAUGAUGCCUAGGGCCAA